RNAcentral lists this long non-coding RNA (204 nucleotides) under Lathyrus oleraceus (garden pea). RNAcentral's name for it is "Pisum sativum (pea) long non-coding RNA (PSAT_LNC033082)". Lineage: Eukaryota; Viridiplantae; Streptophyta; Magnoliopsida; Fabales; Fabaceae. The record is from RNAcentral.
AACAGGAGUGAGAGAAUGGAUAUCUUAGACGGCGUCUGAAUCAACUGAUCGACUACCAUGUAAUCGCUUUUCUUUAUAAUUCUUAAAAGCUCGUCCACAUCAUUCGAGAAAGUAGGCUCUGAGCCAGCUUGGGAGGCAGAGGUACCCUCAUUUACAACUUGUUUGCCUUUGGCCUUAGCCGCGGCAUCAGCAUUCUCACUUUGG